Long non-coding RNA from Melozone crissalis (California towhee), 427 nucleotides. RefSeq lists it as uncharacterized. The transcript has 3 exons. The record is from RefSeq and is a predicted model, not a curated record. Lineage: Eukaryota; Metazoa; Chordata; Aves; Passeriformes; Passerellidae.
CACGAAGGGGAGCAGGUCGAGCAGGAGCGGCAGCAGUGGAAGGAGCAUUGCGGGGUUCCACGGCGAGCCCGCAGCUCGGCUGGGCCCGGCAGCAUCGCAUUGCCCCGCAUCCCGCAGCAAGCAAGCAAGCAGCGCUGGGUGGCCGGGGAGUCGCUGCUCCACUCAUGGCACACACCACUUACGAGUUUGGACUUCUUGGCCACACUGCCGGACCCCAACACCCUGGUCCUGAUGCAGAAUGAACUCCAGCCUCUGGCUGCAUCCAGCCAGACUUCAUCCUGUGUGGCCAGCUCAGCCCCACCAACUGCCCUGGCAACACCCUCUUCCAGGAGAUCCAGAGCUGGCCCAGCUUCUAGGGGACACUGGUGUCCACAGGGCUUGGGGUGGGUGUCCCAUUGGGGUUGGUGGGAGGAGGUUUGGGGUGAUG